UAAUACGUAGGGGGCAAGCGUUAUCCGGAAUUACUGGGCGUAAAGGGUGCGUAGGUGGCCUGACAAGUCAGGGGUCAAAGGCAACGGCUCAACCGUUGUAAGCCCUUGAAACUGUCGGGCUUGAGUUCAGGAGAGGAAAGCGGAAUUCCAAGUGUAGCGGUGAAAUGCGUAGAUAUUUGGAGGAACACCAGUGGCGAAGGCGGCUUUCUGGACUGAUACUGACACUGAGGCACGAAAGCGUGGGGAGCAAACAGG
RNAcentral lists this ribosomal RNA (255 nucleotides) under uncultured bacterium. RNAcentral's name for it is "partial 16S ribosomal RNA". It matches the Rfam family "Bacterial small subunit ribosomal RNA", at positions 521 to 776 of the family's 1533-position model. The record is from RNAcentral.